UUAUAAAAUUUAUAUUUAUUCUACAGACAAAACAUCUGGCACUACAUUUCUAUCAACAGAAAUGUUGUUAUCACAGGAAAUACAAUCACAUUUGAUUUAAAGUAGAGACAAUUUCAACUCACAACAAUUUCUAAUCAUUUUCACAUGAUUCACAUUUGAUUACAUGUAAAAGACAAUUUAAACUCAUAAUAAGAUUUUUUAGUACAACUGGUGACUAAAUGUUACAUUAUUACUUCUUAUAUCAAUCAUUUUACACUAUCAGUGAUAUGAAUGUAAGUGAAAUGUAAAAAAAAAUAAUUUGAAAAUUUUCUUUCAGAAAAUGUGAAAAAAAUAAUAAUUUAUAUCCUUAACUAAUAGACUUUACUUUAACAAUACAAACUUGAUGUUAAUAUUAAGUUAAACUCAUUUUUUUCUCAAAAUUAUUUCAAUAAUUAAAAAAAUGUAUUAUUUCCAAAGCGUCAAAAAAUAAUUAGCUGAUUUAAUUUUUCUAGUGUGACAAAAACAUGAGAGCAUGGAGUCUUCUCAAAAUCGAAAUCUUUUAAGUAAAAUGUAAAAUGUUAAAUGUAAAAUGUGUAUUAUUACAAUGUAGCUUACACAACCCUGUAAUAAAUCUGACACAAAAUUGUUCAUUCUGUGAUAUUAUAACAAAAUAUAUAGCAUCCACAACAACUAGUUCAGCAUAAUGUCCAAAUAUUGUUUACAGAUGGAGAAUCAGGAAUGUUUAUUACUGUAUUUGGCUCAAAUUUCCAUUAAUUUUACAUCACAUAAGUAGUGUCAUGACAUAAUCAAACAGAAAAAUAUGUAUAACUUUCAUAUAAUUAGGCAAUAAAUUAGUUGCAAUGUCAACCAUGAUUAUAAAUCUCAGCUAAAUUUGACUGAAAUAUUAAAAUAGGAUAUUUUUUUUAUUUUUAAAUAUAAAUCAUUUCUUGCACAUAUUAAUUUUUUCAAUUAGUGUAUUCUUCCAAAAUAUAUUGUUUUGGGGAAAUAAGAGUGAGAUUUUAUUUUGAGGCAUAAAAAAUUGAUUCAAAAUAUUUUUUCUUUCUUUUAAACUAUACAUUAGUGUUGUUACAAUUCAAAAUAUAUAUUUUUUGUAAUGUAUUCAGAGCCAAAAGUCAAGAGUUUAAAAACUUACAAUAAUAAGGCCAACAUCAGAACUUCCAUGUCAAUUUGAAUAGCAAAUACAACAACAAGUCACAACCCUCAAUUUAUUUUUCAAAUUGUAUAUAAAUAUCUCUAUAUAAGAUUUGAAAUAUAAAUAAACAAAAUUCAUUUAAAAGUUAUUUCAAUAAAAAUAAAAUCACAAAUCACAACCUUGUUUUUUAUCACAAUAAUUUUUUUAAAUGAGCAAAUUUACAAUACAUUUAGUUUGUAUCAGCAAUGUGUGUGGACGGGAACGAUUAAAAAUGAGGUCAAUAUUACAAUAUAUUGAGUUCGUAUCAGCAAUGUGUGUGGACGGGAACGAUUAAAAAAUAAAGUAAAAUUUACAAUAUAUUUAGUUUGUAUCAGUAAUAUUUGGACGGUAAUGAUUAAAAAAAAAGGUAAAAUUUAAUACACAUUUAGUUUGUAUCAGCAAUGUUUGUGGACAGGUGUGAUUAAAAAUAAGGUAAACAUUAAAAUAAAUUUUAUAGAAUACAAUUUAAGUUAGCAGAACAUUUCAUACCUUAGUUGUAAACAGAAAUCCUACAAGGAUAAACAAAUUUUACAAAUUGGUACAUUUUUUUUGAUGAUUCAAAAAAAAGAAAUGCAACCUUAAUUUCCAUUAGUACAUGAAGCAUUGAAAUGUUCACUGCAAGACGCUAUCAGGUUAUCAUAAAUAUAUUAAAACCUAGUAAAACUUAUUCUCCCUAUCUAGCAUGUAUUAAAUGAUAAAAACAUAUCUAUUAUUAACAUAAAAAGUAAAAGUAACAAUAAACAAUUUAAAAUUUGGACGGAAACUAAUAAUUCAUAAAUAUAUAAAAAGUUGUAUAAUAAAUAUAUUCGGUCACAGUAUUCGAAUGUAAGAUAGAAGUCAUGAAUUAAAAUAAAUAGAAUUAGUAUACGGUGCAGUCCGGUGUAUCCGCUCACCUAAGACUUAUGACUUCACUUCAUUCAACUGAUAAAACCAAUAAAUGAAUAAUAUUAUGUGAACACAUUCAUAACAUAUUU
RNAcentral lists this long non-coding RNA (2145 nucleotides) under Mytilus galloprovincialis (Mediterranean mussel). The record is from RNAcentral. Lineage: Eukaryota; Metazoa; Mollusca; Bivalvia; Mytilida; Mytilidae.